Molecule: microRNA precursor, 59 nt
Filed under: Branchiostoma lanceolatum (amphioxus)
Lineage: Eukaryota; Metazoa; Chordata; Leptocardii; Amphioxiformes; Branchiostomatidae
Description: Bla-Mir-193-P1i2_pre stem-loop
Source: RNAcentral
CCGGACUUUGUGGGUCAGACGGUUCUAUAUCAUGUCCUACUGGCUCUGAAAGUCCUGGU